CACACCCCUUUUCCUCCUUCUGAAGCAACUUCGACUCAUAAUACUAGCAUGCCUUCUUAACUGAUAAUUCUCUAGAAAUUUUGCGGAAGAAAAGAAAAAUCUUCCAAGAUCACAUCGAGUCUGUUCUCCUGAAUGAAUCACUCUGAUGCAGAAGUCUAGAGAGGAUCCAACCCAAUACACAGCUGUGGGGGGUGCUCGUCAGAAGUACAAGUCCAAUUAGAAAAUUUACAGGCUUAUUUUGGGCCCAUCAAAACUACUGAUACGUGUAGCCCAUUUCGGCCCAAAUCACCAAAAGAGAUCCCAGGAGAAUUCAUAAGAAACAAACAAAAGAAGUACGGUUUAUCUGCUGCAAGGAAGAGCUAUAACAGUGAGACUGAUAGUGGCGCAUUGUUGCUGCCUUCAGAUCAUUCCAGAGAAGAACCGUCGUGAGAUCUCCAAGUACCUCUUUCAGGAGGGUGUUUGCUAUGCAAAGAAGGACUACAAUUUGGCAAAGCACCCAGAAAUCGAUGUCCCGAAUCUUCAGGUGAUUAAGUUGAUGCAGAGCUUCAAGUCAAAGGAGUAUGUGUGUGAGACCUUUGCUUGGAUGCAUUACUACUGGUACCACACUAAUGAAGGCAUUGAGUUCCUUCGAGGUUACCUCAAUCUUCCCUCUGAAAUUGUCCCUGCUACUUUGAAGAAGCAGGCCGGGCCUGCUGGUGGUAGGCCCUUUGGUGGCCCAGGCGAUCGUCCACGUAAAUGCUGCUUCGUUGAGAUUUUGUCUUAUUGUCUCAUUUCAUCGGUUGCAAUGUGAUUUGGGCUAAUGUUCUUAUACUGGUCCACCUCGCUUUGAGGGAGGAGAGCGGAGGUUUGGUGAUAGGGAUGGCUAUCGUGGAGGUCCCAGAGGACCAGGUGGUGAUUUUGGUGACAAGGGUGGAGCUCCUGCUGACUACCAGCCUUCUUUCAGGGGUCCUGGUGGAAGGCCUGGCUUUGGUCACGGUGGUGGUUUCAGUGCAGAACCAACAAGCUCAAAUCUUCCUUGAGAGAUGAUUUUUACAUCACGAUUGUUUUGGCAUUUUUUAUUGCAAGCUGAAAAGUAUGGUUAUGUUUAUUUCAUUAAUAGUAAAUUUUAUUCCAUUGCUCUAGUGAAACUGUUGAACAUUUAAUUUACAUGGCUCAGAUCAGUCAGUUUUUGAGUA
RNA transcript from Mangifera indica (mango), 1175 nucleotides. It is a transcript of the gene named 40S ribosomal protein S10-1-like, with no coding region annotated. The transcript has 6 exons. The record is from RefSeq and is a predicted model, not a curated record. Lineage: Eukaryota; Viridiplantae; Streptophyta; Magnoliopsida; Sapindales; Anacardiaceae.